This is a long non-coding RNA of Mastomys coucha (southern multimammate mouse), 298 nucleotides long. RefSeq lists it as uncharacterized. The transcript has 3 exons. The record is from RefSeq and is a predicted model, not a curated record. Lineage: Eukaryota; Metazoa; Chordata; Mammalia; Rodentia; Muridae.
AGGCAUCCCAACUCAACCCUACCUGAAGAAAUGAGACACUGUCAUUUGAUGGCUGCUUUUUUGGAGGCAAAGGAUUUAAGGACCACAAAAUCCUUGAAAAAAGAACAGGAAAGGCUCUUGAAAGAAGUGUAAAAGUAGCUAAUCAGUCAAGCCAAGCUGAUGGAAAUGAAGGGUGGCUGAAUCAGAUCCUUGCUCAUCCUGCAACAGCAUGACAUAGGAGAAGCAAAAGCAAAGGAUCCUGUGUCUUCUAACAGCUGUAGACUUGGAGCAGAGAAUAAAUGGCAGUAGUAUAUUUGGA